Long non-coding RNA from Culex pipiens pallens (northern house mosquito), 1524 nucleotides. RefSeq lists it as uncharacterized. The record is from RefSeq and is a predicted model, not a curated record. Lineage: Eukaryota; Metazoa; Arthropoda; Insecta; Diptera; Culicidae. The transcript has 4 exons.
GGGACCAAAGUUGAUCCAUCGAAAAAAUGUUGUCUUGUCAAAUUUUUUUUUGCAUUAAAAUGAAAAAAAGUGAUCAGAAAUGGUUUUUGAUCGUGUUUUUUAACGUUGUCGAUAAAAAUUGACAUAGGGCUUUAGCACCCAAUUAAAAAAAAUUAAAAUAUAAAUAUAUGGAGCCUAAUAUUUCAAAAGGGCAAUAUUAUUAUAGUUUACAUAAGGUGUGAAAGGGACACACUCUUGUCUAAAAAAGUUAUGUGCCCUAAUGAAAUGGCAAGCACGAUAUAUAAAUUUCUGAAUUAUUUCAUUUUCCAUACGUAAUGUGUGAAUGGCCCCGCGCGCAGAAACGUCAAAACAAACGCGAUGCGCGAUGUGCAAGUAAAAAGAAAAGCGCUUGCAAGUAAAAGGGUUGCGCUUGGUCGAAGGAGCUACACAAUUUUGAAAACUUGCCCAAAAUUAAACCUGGGUCAUCAUUUGACGAAAGCGAUGCUGCUAUUUCAAACUGAGGAAAAGAUUACUUUUGCAGACCAAAUCGAUUUUAAUUGGUUUGAUUCAACUUCAGUGCAUAACGGAUUAGGGCAAUAGAUCGAUCGAAUUGAACUUCCAUUCGGCCAAAACCACGAUCCAGACCUUUCUGAAAUGAUCAAGCCAACUUUAACAGGGAACCUGGAAACAGAAUCGCGUGGAUUUCUUCGGAGAAAGUGGAGCAUUUCGCAGCAUGUUUUUGUUUGUUGAACUCAAGAACAACAAGAUCACCAGAUGAACUCUCGGUUAUCCGACGUUGCACGACUGCGCCGUUUUCCUUCAGAACAAUCUUCAGAACCGGCUGCUGAAGUAACCUCUGGGACCCCUCCAUCCGACCAACAAUUUCCAAAGAAUGACGGAGAUGGAGCUGAUCGUGGUGUACAGCUUUGGUCAACUCUACCACAGCGGAUACCUCCCUGAACUGUGUUUUUUCUUCUGUAUUAGUUUAUUCUAAGAUUUUUUUGUGUUAUUUUCUCUUCAGUUUAAUUUGUUGCCAAUUUAGAAUCCCGCAAACUCUCCAUCAUGUUUGAAUUUAAAAUCCAUAUAUCAUUAGGACAAUUCAGACAAAAAUAUAAUAUAUAUAUCAAAUAAAAUGAAAAAAAUAAAUAACCUAUUUGACCAAAGCAAAAUUAAUGUUUUCUAGCUCAAAAUUCCGAAAAUCCUUGAAAAAUUGAUGUUCAUUCGAAUUGUUACAACUGUUCCCCAAAAUGUAAUGCUCCAUGAAAAAUCACUGAAAUAACUAUUUAAAACCAUAAAAAUACCAUUUGAGAAAUGGUGAAAUCCCUAAAAUAUAUACGCAAAAAUGAACUUUCAAAAAGCACUUGACAAAGUGUCGCUAGAAGAAAAAAUCAAAUAGUGAAUAUUGCUAACAACAUAUAUGGGGAAUAGUUCACUAUUUGAGAGACAGUGAGGAAUUAAAAAAAAUAUUUACCAAAUAGUUGCUAUACAAUUUGGUAAAAGGUUGAUUGAAUAUUUAACAAAUGAUUUUCAAACGGUUUUUUUCUA